UACGGGGGGGGCAAGCGUUGUUCGGAAUUACUGGGCGUAAAGGGCUCGUAGGUGGCCAACUAAGUCGGACGUGAAAUCCCUCAGCUUAACUGGGGAACUGCGUCCGAUACUGGAUGGCUUGAGUUUGGGAGAGGGAUGCGGAAUUCCAGGUGUAGCGGUGAAAUGCGUAGAUAUCUGGAGGAGCACCGGUGGCGAAGGCGGCAUCCUGGACCAACACUGACACUGAGGAGCGAAAGCCAGGGGAGCGAACAGG
RNAcentral lists this ribosomal RNA (253 nucleotides) under uncultured bacterium. RNAcentral describes it as "partial 16S ribosomal RNA". It matches the Rfam family "Bacterial small subunit ribosomal RNA", at positions 524 to 776 of the family's 1533-position model. The record is from RNAcentral.